Molecule: ribosomal RNA, 253 nt
Filed under: uncultured bacterium
Lineage: Bacteria
Description: partial 16S ribosomal RNA
Rfam family: Bacterial small subunit ribosomal RNA
Source: RNAcentral
GACAGAGGGUGCGAGCGUUGCUCGGAAUUACUGGGCGUAAAGCGCGCGUAGGCGGCUUUGCAAGUCGGGUGUGAAAUCCCCAGGCUUAACCUGGGAACUGCAUUCGAGACUGCAUUGCUAGAGUAUGGGAGAGGGAAGCGGAAUUUCUGGUGUAGCAGUGAAAUGCGUAGAUAUCAGAAGGAACAUCAGUGGCGAAGGCGGCUUCCUGGACCAAUACUGACGAUCAGGUGCGAAAGCGUGGGGAGCAAACAGG